Long non-coding RNA from Gasterosteus aculeatus aculeatus (three-spined stickleback), 3074 nucleotides. NCBI's taxonomy places the organism in Eukaryota, Metazoa, Chordata, Actinopteri, Perciformes, Gasterosteidae. The record is from Ensembl.
AUUGGCUGCAAUCUGCCGUCCCUGCAGGACUUGUUCGCUUCCAGGUCUCUGAAGUGAGCUAAAAAGAUUGUGGCCGACCCCUCCCACCCCGGACAAAAACUGUUUGUGCCCCUUCCAUCUGGCAGGAGGCUGAGGUCCAUCAGGACUAAGACCUCCCGCCACACGAACAGUUUCUUCCCGUCGGCAGUCGGGCUCAUCAACAGAGCCCGGUCCCCCACUGACUGACUAUAACAUUCCACCGGUCACUCCCCUUCAUACUGCACAUGUCACUUUAACUGUAAUUUAUCACUUUGUCGUCACUCGUCACUUUGUUACUUGUUCGCUAGUGCACUUUAUGCUUAAUCUUUUUUAAUAUUUUAAAUUUUUAACUAACUUUAUUCCCUUGUUUUAUACUAACCCAUAGCCUUAUUCUACUAACCCAUUGCAUUAGCAUUUCAUUUUACUUUUUUAUUUUCACACUGUCUACUGUCGCGCACCAACCGCCAAGACAAAUUCCUUGUAUGUUUGACAUAUUUUGGUAAUAAAUGUUUCCUGAUUCCUGAUUCCAGAUGUGACGGAUGUCAGACAGCUGCUAAUUUUCACAAGAACCGUUGAUGGCUUGGACAAACUAUCAGCUGUUGUUACAGAUGGCGCACCAGCGAUGCAGGGAAGACGCACCGGAUUCGCAGGGCUCCUUCAACAAAGUGGAGUGAACUGCCCUAUACUGCACUGUAUCAUACACCAGGAGGCCCUCUGUGCCAAGACACUGAACUAACCAUGUUAUGGACUAAAGUAACAAAUCUCAUCCGAGGAGGGAAGAGAUCCCUCAGUCACACGAGAUUUAUAGCCUUUUUGGAUGAAGUGGACGCCGCAUAUGGGGAUUUACAAAUGCACACCGAGGUCUGAUGAAUGAGUCGGGGGAAGUGUCUUGAGCGAUUUUUUUUGCGCUGUGCUCCGAAAUUCCAGUGUGUUUGGAAGACAGCGUUCGUGGUGAUAUGAGUGCUUACUGCAGGAAACUCAAAGACACAACGUUUCUGUGCAACAUGGCAUUCCUUACUGACAUUACCGUACACCUCAAUGACCUGAACACAAAGAUGCAUGGGAGACACCAAACUGUGUGUGACCUGUGUGCACACAUCAACGCAUUUCAGCGCAAAUUAGACCUGUUCAAAGAGGGAUUUUCAUCCCAUCUUCCGAAUUUGACACACUUUCCUGCUUAUGAGGAGAUGCGAAAAAGUGUCCCAGAGUGCGAAGGCUUACUUCACAAAUAUAAGACAGAUAUCGAGAAAAUGCAGGAGCAGUUCAAGCAUCGUUUCCAAGAUUUUCAUGCAAUCCAGCCACAGAUAGCGCUCUUAGUGGACCCCCUCUCCCGUGCUGUCAGCAAGCAACCUUCUGAAUAGCAGCUUGAACUUUGCGACCUGCAGUGUGAUCCAUUUUUUCAGGCGAGGCACAAUGAGAAGCGAAUUCCGUUUUGGAGUCUGCUGCCUGAAUGCCCGCUGCGAGAUUUUUCUCUCAAGGUCCUGUAUGUUUGGGAGCACAUUUGUGAGAACAGUUUUUUGACAAUGAAGCACAUCAAGUCAAAAGAGAGAAACAGGCCCACGAAUGACACUUUUUUUAUCUGAUGCGAAUUGGAUGCAAAAAGAUUGACAUUGACAUCCACUCUAUUGUGCGCCAACAGGCAAAGCCACAAGUUUAUCAUUAAAGGAGAACCAGGGGUGAGGUAGAGGAGGUGUGCAGGGAAAAUGUUAAAAUAUUUUUAAAAAAGAGUUGGAUUUUUAUGUAUGACAGCACUUUGCACCAAAAAAAAAAAUCACAUAUCUGGUUAUUUGUUUGCUUCAAAGCUUGUGUUGUUUAAGAAGAUCUGUUAUACAUGCAUUUGAGCAUGAAAUAUCUUAAGAUGCAGUGACUAUUGCCUGGGUUGUUUCGAACAGUGAGCUGAACACAGAACAAAGAGUUUUCAUAUUCAAUGUAUGGCGACAAGUCACCAUUUUGGGGUGUUUUGAGUGUUACGUCCCCCAGCUUGCAGUGUGUGUCUCCUGAUUACAGAUGAGCCACACCUGAGCGGAGCCUGUGUUUGCGCUACAGAGUUGCUACAAUACAGUCAGUCAGGCGCGCGCCCGCAAAGCAGACAGUCGCGCCGCCGUUUUCUUUUUUUGAAUAUUAAUUCUCACUUUCGAAUAGUUGUUAAACUAUUCGAAUAUAUAUUCCAAUAUAGAAUAUUUGUUCCAUAAACAAAACCACAUCUGUAAUAAUACACUAGCCACCACACGAAUAAUGACAACAUGCAAACAAUAAAAUGAAUAAAAAUGGAAGUAAAAGCAUUACUAUAUAAUUAAAACAAAGCGGUGUUAUUAUUAUAAAACAAAUGGUUGCAGGGCUAAACUUUGACCACUAAAAGGUAAUGCUCACAUUCUACUCCCUGUACAAGAUGGAGAGCAGAGUAGCAGACACUACUUUCUAUUCCUGCACUACAUUUAAGGUGACCAUGAUGAGAGAAGCAACUCGCUCACUCCCGUCCAGAUAAGGAGGAUGGCUGACCAGAGGACAGGCUGGAGACCUGUGGGCGUCAUAUAAUACCAUGUGUAGAUAAAGAUAAAAGCCUGUUAAUCUUUUCUAGAUUAUAAUAACAUGCGACUGAUUGAUAAUGUUAGAAUAUAGAACAUUGAGUCAUUGCUGUAUUUUCAGCAAUUUAAAAAAAGUUUUUAGCCUUUUCUGCCGAAAAUGCAUUUUCUAGUUGUAUGAAUCACUUCUGUCUUUUGAACCUAAUGUGUUGCAACUCUCUUAUGCAGUUGAUUCUGUAUGAUUGAAAUCUACUGAGUUCUGUUCAUCCUGCAAAAAGGGUUCCUUCCACCCAGGGCUUCUUUCUUCUUUCACAGAAUAUUUGAAUGGAGUUUUUCCUGUUCGAAUGUGAGGGUAUUGGGACAAUCAAUGUUGUGGCCUUUUAGGGCAAUUUAUUAUGUGAUUUAGGCAUUGAUGUGGCCUUAGCUUUGAUUGAUGAAUGAUGCAGCACUUGCUAGAAAUUCUAAAAUAACCUUGUGCUCUAAUCCACAGUCCGCGCACCCAAAACACAAACCAUGCUUUUGAGGAUAAAUAUA